RNAcentral lists this transfer RNA (68 nucleotides) under Geckolepis petiti. RNAcentral describes it as "tRNA-Val". Lineage: Eukaryota; Metazoa; Chordata; Lepidosauria; Squamata; Gekkonidae. The record is from RNAcentral.
CAAGAGGUAGCUUAAUAUAACAAAGCAAUCAGCUUACAACUGAAAAAUGUUCCUACGAACCCACUUGA